UCUCCCUCCAGCGGCUGCCGCUGCAGUUCCUGCCUCCCCCAGGGCUGCUUCUGGGAGACGUGGAGCCGGGAGCCGCCAUCAGGGCUGAACACAUUGGCCUGAGCUCCAACCUGCUCUCUACUGAAGCGUUUCCCUGCUGUCAUAUCACUGCCCUUUGCCAGCCUAGGUUAAUGCAACCUGGGAAAAGGCUCCAGUCUACAGCGAUGGUCAGCCCUGGAAGCGGGUGCUCCUCUCCCUCCUCCCAUCCCCCGAAUUCCCCCAGGCUCUGGCUAGUCAGUCAGUCUUUGCAGACGCCUGAUUCCUGCUAUGGCAGCCAUGUGCCAUGCAGGUGAGGGGCAGAGGUGGCACUGAGCUGGCAGCCCCAGGGUUGACCGGCAGCAGGACUGCAUUACUCUGCAAGGAUAGAGCCACCCUGGAAUCCCUGUCUUCUGAUUCAGGGAAGCAAUCUUCCUACAGGAGAGAGGAACUGGCACUGACGGCGGGCGUGCCUGGAGCUGUGUGGGGUGCUUUGCGUGCUGCCUGCCUUCGUUCUAGCAGCACCCCUCACAGUGGACGUUAUGGACCACUAUUCCAGAUAAGUAACUGAGGAUUGGGGUCACAGAAGGUCACUCAGCUGACAAGUGGCAGAGUCCGAAUUCUACGCCAGGUCAUCAUCACUUUGCCCUGCCCCCUGCCCCUCAGUGGUGGGCCUUUGGGCUGUGUUUUGUUGUAUUUUUGUAUUUCAUCCAGUGCAAGCCGAUUAUAGAAGAAACAAGGUGGGUGAGCCUGAGCUUUGAUUUCUUCAUCUCGCAUGUGGCCACAGGAGUGUCAUAGAAUGACCACACUGGAGCCACCUCAGCGAUGGGUAGAGCCACCCCCCCUGGUUUACAGGAGGGAAACUGAGGUCUAGAGGUGGGGAGCAACUUGCCUGAGGUUACAAGAUGGGUCAGUGGAGAGCUGGGCCAGGCCGGACUCUCCUUGGGGCCUCCUUCAUUGGUCUUUCUCAUCCUCCCUUGCUGGCCUCUUCACCUCUGUCCAGUUCUGCACAUUGGAGGAUCCCAGCCUGUCGCCCCUGGACCUCUUUUCUGCAUCUCAUUCCCCGGGUGACCCAGUCCCAUGAUUCUAAUUACCAUCUACAUGCCCGCCCUGAGUCUCAACUUGAGACCUCUAGCCCUGACCCCGCCUUUGAACUCCAGCCCAUCUGUCCAGCUGCCUUGGCCUGUCCUUAGACAUCUAAGAGGCUAACAAACUGGAUGUGUCUAAAACACAACUCUUGAUUUAGCUGUAUCCUCCCGGCUCCCACCAAGCUUGCUCCUCCCACAACUUCCCCAUUUUAGUCACUGGACCAUCAUCUUCCCAGUUAUUCAGGCUGAAAGCAUUGGUGUUAUCCUAUAUUUCCUUCCCUCAACCCCCACAUCUGAUCCAUUAGUAAAAAUAUAUUGCAGUCUGACCCUUCUCCCAUCUCCACCGUCAUCUGAUGCUGCAGCAACCUAACUGGUCCUCCUGCAUCCUCUUUUCCCGUCAAGAAUUUAUUCUUCUCACAGCAACCAACGUGCUCUCUUUUAAACAGAACAGGUUGUAUCAUUCCCCUGCUUGAAAACCUUUCAGUGACUUCACAUCAAUUCAGUAUGAAAUCCCAACUCCCUGCCAUGGUCCACAAGGCCCUACAGGUCCUGGGCUUCUGGAAGCCUCUGUCUCCAUUUUCAUCUCCUCCUGCUUCCUGAGAAUGAUGCACUGUCUCUUCUUUUUGUUCCGUGAGCACCCCAAGGUUGCCCCUGCCUCGGGGCCUUUGCACGACUCUUCCAUUUUCUUGGAACCCUCUUCCAAGAUCGUGGCUCAGUUGCUUCCUCAUUGUUGACAUCACUUGUCACAUUCCCUGAAUACCCUGUCUAGAGAAGCACCACCCCUCUGCCCAUCACUGUCUGUCACACUGGCAUGCUCUCUCUCUCACAGCCCUUGUCGUCACCUGAAAUCAUCUGGGUUAUUUGCCCACUUGUGGACUGUCUUUUCUCCUCACUGGAAUGUAAGUUCUGGGACUGUUUUUGUCCCUGCCACGUCCUCAAUACUAACAACAGUGUGCCUAGCACAUGGCAGGUGCUCAAUGAGUACUUGUUCACAGAACCAGCCACAUGGACUAAGGGCCUAAGUUACAACUCAAGUUUAUUCUAGGUUGCUGCCCCCAGACUCUCUUUUGUAGGACAGCUUUUCCCUGUCCUACGACUUCUUUAAGACAGUAAUUUCUUUAAGUGCUCAGAGGUCACUCAUUUAUCUACCAGCUCUACCACCUACAGGCUGUGUGACCUUGGGCAAGUUACUUAAUGUCUCUGUGUCUCAGUUUUGUCAGCUGUAAAAUGGGGGUAAUAACAGUGCCCACUUCAUAGAGUAAAUGUGAGAAUUGAAUGAAUGCAUAAAGAGUGCUUAAAACAGCACAGGGACACAGUGUUCAAUAACGUUAGCUCUAUUAUUUUUAUCAUCGUUAUCAUCACCACUGUCAUCAUCACUGGUGUUUUUAAUUGAGAUAUACUUGACAUAUAACAUAUUAGUUGCAGCUGUACAGCAUGAUUCAAUAUACGUAUAUAUUGCAACAUGAUCAGCAAAAUCUAGUUAACAUCCAUCACCAGUCUGACUCCUGGAAGAGGCAACUGGUGUCUCUGCCUUCACGUAAUAAUACUUUGUGCCACUCUGCCUGCACAGUACCCUCCAGUGGUUUUCGAUUUCACUUCAGAAAAAGACCAAACCCCUUUAAGUAGCCUGUGAGCCCCACAAGCACCUCUCCAGCCUCAUCCUGCAUGGCUUUCCCCGUUGUUUGACCCCCUGCAGUCACACCAGCCUCAUUUCAGCGUUCAUGUGACUUCUGCUUGUCCCACAUCAGGCACUUUGCCUGGAACUUACUCUCCCUCCACCUUUACCUGGUCAGUGCCUGCUCUUCGUCCCCAUCUCAGCUAGGUCAUUACCGUCUUAGCCUCCCACGACCACUCACGAGGGAAAUUCCCUAUUUCACACUCGGGGCAACACGUCCCUCUGUGGUAGCACGUCUCACAGUUGUGCGUUUGCUCUCUGCCUUCACUUGGAUUAACAUCUGCCUUCCCUGUUAGAUGCUAAACUCCAUGAGAACAGAGACCAACUCGUUCUUUGCUCACCUUUGUACUCCCAAUGCGAGCAGUGUUUGCACAGACAGGUUCCACUUGCUAGCAACGUGGCAUGGGCAGCCCCUGCCUGCCAUGCUGCUUUCACAGGGUGCGCACAGAGCUACAAAAAUGGGAAAGCCUUUGCUCGUCUAAGCCAAGAUAGAAACUGGACGUGAAGCUGCAGCACAAUGGAGAAGUCUGUCUCGCUUCCUGGACUCGGCUGUCUUACUGCCAGACACUCAGCUUUUCCUUCCCUCUCGAAACAAGGUGACUGUGGUGUCCUGAUGGUGGACUGCUCUGUUCUGAUUUAGCUGGCUGAUGGUGUUUUCUUUAAUUGGUUCCAUCAGAGGUCCUUCAGGCUGCAGACCCGGACCAGUCACCCCCAGAGUCUGUACCAAGACAUGGCAAAAUGAG
Molecule: long non-coding RNA, 3521 nt
Organism: Equus caballus (horse)
Lineage: Eukaryota; Metazoa; Chordata; Mammalia; Perissodactyla; Equidae
Source: Ensembl